GCAAGUCGAGCGCGCCCUUCGGGGUGAGCGGCGGACGGGUGAGUAACGCGUGGGAAUAUGCCCUUCUCUAAGGAAUAGCCUCUGGAAACGGAGAGUAAUACCGUAUACGCCCUUCGGGGGAAAGAUUUAUCGGAGAUGGAUUGGCCCGCGUUAGAUUAGAUAGUUGGUGGGGUAAUGGCCUACCAAGGCAACGAUCUAUAGCUGGUCUGAGAGGAUGAUC
RNAcentral lists this ribosomal RNA (220 nucleotides) under uncultured bacterium. RNAcentral's name for it is "partial 16S ribosomal RNA". It matches the Rfam family "Bacterial small subunit ribosomal RNA", at positions 57 to 305 of the family's 1533-position model. The record is from RNAcentral.